RNAcentral lists this unclassified non-coding RNA (391 nucleotides) under soil metagenome. RNAcentral describes it as "partial contains 5.8S ribosomal RNA, internal transcribed spacer 2, and large subunit ribosomal RNA". The stretch from base 1 to 122 matches the Rfam family "5.8S ribosomal RNA", at positions 35 to 154 of the family's 154-position model. The record is from RNAcentral.
GAUGAAGAACGUAGCGAAAUGCGAUACUUGGUGUGAAUUGCAGAAUCCCGUGAACCAUCGAGUCUUUGAACGCAAGUUGCGCCCGAAGCCAUUAGGCCGAGGGCACGCCUGCCUGGGUGUCACACGUCGUUGCCCCCCCAUCUACUCCUUCGGGAUUGCGGGGGGCGGAUGAUGGCCUCCCGUGCGCCUCGUCGCGCGGUUGGCAUAAAUGCCAAGUCCUCGGCGACGCACGCCACGACAAUCGGUGGUUGCGAAACCUCGGUUGCCCGUCGUGUGCGGUCGUCGCGCAUCGAGGGCUCGAAAAAAUUGCCGGGCUCCGGCUCGGCUUUCAACGCGACCCCAGGUCAGGCGGGGUUACCCGCUGAAUUUAAGCAUAUCAAUAAGCAGAGGA